AGUGAACGCUGGCGGUAGGCCUAACACAUGCAAGUCGAACGGCAGCACAGUAAGAGCUUGCUCUUACGGGUAGCGAGUGGCGGACGGGUGAGGAAUACAUCGGAAUCUACUUUUUCGUGGGGGAUAACGUAGGGAAACUUACGCUAAUACCGCAUACGACCUACGGGGGAAAGCAGGGGAUCUUCGGACCUUGCGCGAUUGAAUGAGCCGAUGUCGGAUUAGCUAGUUGGCGGGGUAAAGGCCCACCAAGGCAACGAUCCGUAGCCGGUCUGGGAGGAUGAUCAGCCACACUGGAACUGAGACACGGUCCAGACUCCUACGGGAGGCAGCAGUGGGGAAUAUUGGACAAUGGGCGCAAGCCUGACCCAGCCACACCGCGUGGGUGAAGAAGGCCUUCGGGUUGUAAAGCCCUUUUGUUGGGAAAGAAAAGCAGCAGGUUAAUACCCAGCUGUUCUGACGGUACCCAAAGAAUAAGCAACGGCUAACUUCGUG
RNAcentral lists this ribosomal RNA (492 nucleotides) under uncultured bacterium. Its description in RNAcentral is "partial 16S ribosomal RNA". It matches the Rfam family "Bacterial small subunit ribosomal RNA", at positions 29 to 507 of the family's 1533-position model. The record is from RNAcentral.